This 449-nucleotide ribosomal RNA is filed under the name uncultured bacterium. Its description in RNAcentral is "partial 16S ribosomal RNA". It matches the Rfam family "Bacterial small subunit ribosomal RNA", at positions 29 to 523 of the family's 1533-position model. The record is from RNAcentral.
AGCGAACGCUGGCGGCAGGCUUAACACAUGCAAGUCGAACGCAUCCUUCGGGGUGAGUGGCAGACGGGUGAGUAACGCGUGGGAACAUGCCCUUUGGUUCGGAAUAACUCAGGGAAACUUGAGCUAAUACCGGAUAAGCCCUUUUGGGGAAAGAUUUAUCGCCGAAGGAUUGGCCCGCGUCCGAUUAGCUAGUUGGUGAGGUAAUGGCUCACCAAGGCGACGAUCGGUAGCUGGUCUGAGAGGAUGAUCAGCCACACUGGGACUGAGACACGGCCCAGACUCCGACGGGAGGCAGCAGUGGAGAAUAUUGGACAAUGGGGGCAACCCUGAUCCAGCCAUGCCGCGUGAGUGAUGAAGGCCCUAGGGUUGUAAAGCUCUUUCGGCGGGGACGAUAAUGACGGUACCCGCAGAAGAAGCCCCGGCUAACUUCGUGCCAGCAGCCGCCGUAA